AACAGGAGCGAAUCGUUCGUCGUGAACAGGUGACUCUCCCGGCACGAUACACACGGCGUACAUACGUAUUAUAGUUUUUAAACGCUAAGAAACAAAAUCUCCUUAGUCAAUAAACAACGACAGCAGCAGCGACAGCAGGCCGGCCGAUGACAUUCGUGUAGUCUAACGACGAAUCAGAACGCGACGUGCGUGAAUUUUUCCGGGUGAGUCGGAAUGUUCGUGCGGACACGUGUAGCUUAUUUUUCAAUUUAUACGGGACGUCGGCGACCCCAGCAGAAGGUAUGGUUUUUGCGAAAUCAAUCACACGUUAUUUGCUACCACACGUCUCUCCAGUUUGUAGGGGAUGUCCAACGGAAAAGGAAAGAGAAAAGAGAUAGGGAAAGGGAGGGUGAGAAACGAAACGAGAAGGACAAGAGAGGGAGUGGGAGGAUAUAGGAAUCGAACAGGGAAGAUCUGCUCGUAUCAGCGUCGAACACUCAGCAGAUAGUCGCUGGAAAAAGCUGAAAAUUUAUCGAAAGAAUUCUUUUCAAUCCUCACAUGGUUAGGAAUGCGUAAUCUAAGGAUCCACUUAUAACAGGAAAUAAAUCUGUACGGUUUAAAAUUUAUCACACUCUUAUUAUCACGCCGUUGUUAACAUUCUAUAAUUCUUUAAAUCAUCGGACGCAUAAAUGGUUAACAGACAUAAAUAGUUCAGAAAAUUUCCGAUAUCCUUGCUUAUAAAAUUGUAUCUCAAUAAAUUCUUUGAAUCUUCCGUUAGUCAAAUCUUGCUUCGUAAUACAACAGACUUCUUAUUAAAUUUUGAACCAAUCAGAAUCGUAGGAGUAAUAUUCUUAAGAAGCAAUAGGAAGCAUAUUCUCGACUUUCUCUUUCUUAAGUGGCAUAUUAAGUACGAGCAAAGGGGAGAAAAUUAGAAAGAAUCGGUUGGAAAGACCUGGAAAGUCGGUUUUUGUCACUCUGUAAACCCUGGCAAUAAUUAGUUAAUAAGUCUGUGUUAGAUCUUACGUUUAUAUUCUACGAAACUGGUAUUUAAUCAAUAAGUCUGUAUUCUAUAAAACCGGUAAUUAGUUAAUAAAUCUAUGUUUUGAAUUUUACAAAGACGAUAAUAAAUUUAUAAGACUGUAUUCGGAAAUCAGUAAAUCUGCAGUUUGUAUUCUCUCGUAAUUCCUUCUGAAAUCCAAAAAUUAAUCAUCUUAAACUACGCUACAGAACGUAACGAAAAUAUAACUGAAUAUUUUCAAUAAUUCGACGAUAUACGAAUUUAACAUGAACUCACCUUAACUAUUUUAACUGUACAUU
Vespula pensylvanica (western yellowjacket) is the source of this 1296-nucleotide long non-coding RNA. RefSeq lists it as uncharacterized. The transcript has 3 exons. The record is from RefSeq and is a predicted model, not a curated record. Lineage: Eukaryota; Metazoa; Arthropoda; Insecta; Hymenoptera; Vespidae.